This is an RNA transcript of Cucumis sativus (cucumber), 2482 nucleotides long. It is a transcript of the gene named protein NUCLEAR FUSION DEFECTIVE 4, with no coding region annotated. The transcript is spliced from 5 exons. The record is from RefSeq and is a predicted model, not a curated record. NCBI's taxonomy places the organism in Eukaryota, Viridiplantae, Streptophyta, Magnoliopsida, Cucurbitales, Cucurbitaceae.
UAAUGGAUAUAUAAUAUAAAUAAAUGAGGUCGCAUCGUGAUACACGUCGAUUAUAAGCUCAAAUAUUUCCUAACCCAAACGUCGAAAGGUGAAGUCGAAAAAAAAGAGGAUUUUGUCACCUCCACCACCGUCGAGAUUGGUUGCGAAUUACUAUCUCUGUCGAUCAAACCGAAUUUUCAUGGUUGGCCAAUCGCGUAAGUGGCUGGUUCUUGUGGCGACGAUAUGGAUUCAGGCAUUCACUGGCACCAACUUCGAUUUUUCGGCCUACUCUUCCAAACUGAAAUUAGUAUUAGGCAUUUCUCAAGUUCAGCUUAAUUAUCUAGCCACCGCCUCCGAUCUCGGCAAAGUUUUUGGUUGGUCCUCUGGAUUAGCUUUGCUUCAUCUUCCGUUGCCGGUGGUUAUGUUCAUUGCUGCUUUUUUAGGAUUCAUCGGCUAUGGCUUCCAAUGGCUCCUAAUCGCUGAUUUCAUCUCCUUACCCUAUUUCCUGGUGUUCUUCUUGUGCUUGCUUGCCGGUUGCAGCAUUUGUUGGUUCAACACAGUUUGUUUCGUUCUUUGCAUUCGAAACUUCUCAGCAAAUCGCCCAUUAGCAUUAUCUCUCACUGUUAGCUUCAAUGGCGUCAGUGCCGCUUUCUACACUCUCGCCGGCAACGCCAUUAAUCCCUCUUCACCUCCCAUUUACCUUCUCCUCAACGCUCUCAUUCCCCUUCUCAUCUCCAUCGUCGUCUUCCUCCCCGUCCUCCACCAACCCCCUCUUCAUUCUCUUUCCCUCCCCUCCGACGCCGUCCACCGAGACUCCCUCAUUUUCCUCAUCUUGAACUUCCUUGCCAUCAUCGUCGGAAUCUACCUUCUCCUCUUCGGCUCUGUCACUUCCGCUGAUCCCAUGAUCGCACGCCUACUCUUCAUCGGAGCCAUUGUUCUUCUUAUCUUGCCUCUCUGUAUUCCUGGUAUUGUCUAUGCUAAUGAUUGGUUCCAUCGAACCGUUAAUUCCAGCUUCCGUCUCGAUGGAUCUAACUUCAUUCUCGUCCACGACGAAGAUCUCGAGUUUCACAAAGAGUUGUUGCUUAGUCUUGAAUCCAAUGGAAGCUUCGGCAAUGGCGAAUCUCCGUUGUUGUCUGAAUCUGCUUCGUUAAUUGACGGUGAGACUGAACCAUCGAAAGGCUGCUUGAGGAAAUUGAUUGAGAUAGAUCAAUUAGCGAUGCUUGGGGAAGAACAUUCGUCGAGUCGAUUGGUGAAACGCCUGGAUUUUUGGCUGUAUUUCAUUGCUUACAUUUGUGGAGGCACAAUCGGACUCGUUUACAGCAACAACAUAGGUCAGAUUGCGCAAUCCCUAGGUUUAAGUUCAAGAACCAAAGCGAUUGUAACACUCUACUCCUCAUUCUCUUUCUUCGGCCGAUUGCUCUCCGCCGUACCAGACUACAUUCGAGCGAAAUUGUAUUUUGCAAGAACAGGAUGGCUUUCGAUUGCUCUAAUUCCAACUCCUAUAGCAUUCUUCCUGCUAUCGGCAUCAUCCACCGCAAUGGCAGUUUACAUAGGCACGGCGCUGAUCGGCUUAAGCUCCGGAUUCAUAUUCGCAGCAGCAGUUUCCAUUACCGCGGAGCUGUUUGGACCAAAUAGCUUAGGCGUUAACCACAACAUUCUGAUCACAAACAUCCCUAUCGGAUCUCUGCUAUACGGCAUGCUUGCGGCGGUGGUGUACGAUUCACAGGGAAAAAGCUCGGACAACGGGGAGGCGAUUGUAUGCAUGGGAAGAAGACACUUUUCAAAUUUGGAAGAAGCAUAGGAAGUCAAUGAAGAUGGCGAGAAGGCAAAGUUACAUUAUAUUAAGGCAGAUUUUUGGGAAAUUUGUAUUGCAAGUAUUUGAUUUGGAUCCAUGCAUCUCACAUGGUGUGGCUUCUUCUUGAAGAAAAAGAGAGACACCAUUUCUGGCAUGUUUUGGUGAGGCAGAAGCAGACCAGUGGCCAGAAGUAACAGCCAUGUCCUUGAACUGAAGAAGGUUUUCAAGAGCCUCAACAAUGGCCGGCAUUCUAGGCCUGUCUUUAGGAUUCAAGCUGGUGCUUUGGAGGGCAAGACUGGCCAUUCCCUUUGCUCCUUUCACAGAAUACUGCCCACAAAGCCUCGGGUCCAUUAUGCAAUGCAACCUGCGAGAGCUACUGAGGUAUGGCUUUGCCCAAUCCACAAGGUUUUGGUCAUUCUUUGCUCUUGAUUUGUCCAUUGCUCUUCUUCCUGUUAGAAGCUCCAAAAGUACCACUCCAAAACUGUAUACAUCGCUUUUCGUUGUCAAAUGCCCUACGAUAAACAUCGUACCACAAACCACAUGAGUGUUAUGCAUGAAUGAGACUAGAUGUUGGACACUAGGCUUGAGCAACAAUCACUAUAGAUCUAAAAAUACUUUUUAACCACUUAAAAAGUCAUUACCAAACAUAUCCAAUGAUACUAUAAUAUCAUGACCCUAAGUGCAGAUUUAGUAUGGAGAAUUUGUAAU